This 292-nucleotide ribosomal RNA is filed under the name uncultured bacterium. Its description in RNAcentral is "partial 16S ribosomal RNA". It matches the Rfam family "Bacterial small subunit ribosomal RNA", at positions 505 to 796 of the family's 1533-position model. The record is from RNAcentral.
GUGUCAGCAGCCGCGGUAAUACGUAGGUGGCAAGCGUUGUCCGGAAUUACUGGGCGUAAAGGGCGCGUAGGCGGGAAUUUAAGUCAGGAGUGAAAACUAUCGGCUCAACCGAUAGCCUGCUCUUGAAACUGGAUUUCUUGAGGGUAUGAGAGGAAAGCGGAAUUCCCAGUGUAGCGGUGAAAUGCGUAGAUAUUGGGAGGAACACCAGUGGCGAAGGCGGCUUUCUGGCAUACAACUGACGCUGAGGCGCGAAAGCGUGGGGAGCAAACGGGAUUAGAAACCCCCGUAGUCC